GAGAAAAAUUUUAUUCGAUAUCAGGGUGGAUAUUGUGUACGCUUAUUACUCUAUGUUCGAAGUUAACGCCGAGCCAUGUAGACAUUUGAUCGCAGUCUCAAUGGCAAUCAUACCACUCGUGACGCUUUUACUUUUCAAGUUUGGAGGUGCUCUCGGGUUGAUGGUGGUAACGAAUACCCUAAGUAAUUCACGACCACGCCUCGGCGAAACGAUAACGCUCAACUGUACUGUGUCGGGUGGAGCCGGCAGUGUUCUUGGGUGGUACAUGUUCGCACAUGAUACGAAAGAAACAAUAUAUUUGUCGAACGAUUGUUCCGUUGUUGCAAAGGAGUAUAAAUCAAGAUUAACAAACACUAAAUGUGAUUCGAGUGAUGAUAACUAUAAUCACAUUUUUCAAUUAAGUAAUGUUCAAAUUUCGGACCGAGGGUUGUGGUACUGUCAAGCCGUUGUCAAUAUCAACUGGGCUCGAUCACGUAAGCUUGAAUUGACUGUUUUAGUUCCACCCCUCACCCCGACAGUCACAAAUCCAUCGCCAGUCAAAGUUGGAAAAACUGCAAAUCUCACCUGCAAUGCCGAAAA
Lineus longissimus is the source of this 579-nucleotide long non-coding RNA. RefSeq lists it as uncharacterized. NCBI's taxonomy places the organism in Eukaryota, Metazoa, Nemertea, Pilidiophora, Heteronemertea, Lineidae. The record is from RefSeq and is a predicted model, not a curated record. The transcript is spliced from 3 exons.